AGAGAAUUGUCACAAUGCAUAGUUCCGACCGAUCGCCCGUCAACCAAUCAGAUCGCGUCUUUCCGUCACCGCGGGAUAGCUUGUUGCUAAGGCGCCAUUAGGUCCCCCAAGCUUUCGGUUGUCAGGACAUUUGACCCUGCAAAGUAGCUUGCCGUUUUUAGUGAUAAUGGGGAAACGCUGUGCAUGGGGGACUUGCGAUUCUGAUGAGGGAUAUCCUGAGAGGCUUGGGAAUGCACUUUUCAUUCCUUUUCCAAAACUCAAGUUCCGUUUGGAAACGUGUUUGCGAUGGAUUCGGGCUUGUGGAAGACCCCAUCAUCAGCUGAAUAACAACAUCAACAAACACAAAUAUGUGUGUUCAAAGCAUUUCAAGACCAACAGCAGAGUUCCCAUACCCUAUUGCUAUUGGGGGAAAUGUGACCCCAACCCGGCCACCACCAAAAGAGAGGAUCCGUCUGGAUACCUGUGAUUCAUCUCCAAGACAACUGUUUCAAGCAAACAGAGAAAUAUCCCCCCA
Molecule: long non-coding RNA, 514 nt
Organism: Haliotis rubra (blacklip abalone)
Lineage: Eukaryota; Metazoa; Mollusca; Gastropoda; Lepetellida; Haliotidae
Exons: 3
Source: RefSeq, a predicted model, not a curated record